RNAcentral lists this ribosomal RNA (137 nucleotides) under Staphylococcus aureus. RNAcentral's name for it is "partial 23S ribosomal RNA". It matches the Rfam family "Bacterial large subunit ribosomal RNA", at positions 2786 to 2925 of the family's 2925-position model. The record is from RNAcentral. Lineage: Bacteria; Bacillati; Bacillota; Bacilli; Caryophanales; Staphylococcaceae. RNAcentral also lists the same sequence under 1 other name.
CAUGAAGCCCCCCUCAAGAUGAGAUUUCCCAACUUCGGUUAUAAGAUCCCUCAAAGAUGAUGAGGUUAAUAGGUUCGAGGUGGAAGCAUGGUGACAUGUGGAGCUGACGAAUACUAAUCGAUCGAAGACUUAAUCAA